CAGACGGGAAGCUAUAUUGCAAUAUACAUUAUUCUUCAUGCGAUGUUUUUCUCUUAAAUAUCAACACAUUUUUAUUUCUAAACUCAUACUGUAGUGGUCGCUGAUGAAUCCUAAACUCAUCCUAAUCUGCUUCACUUCAAUGGCGGUGUGCCACAAUUAGAUUACAAGCCUAUAAUAUGAUUUCAUAUAAAUGAGAAGUUUAUUGUACUAGCGUCUUGAAUUGCUUUUGACAUUAAAGAUGUUUCUAGAAUCACAAAUGUCGCAAUCAUUAAAAUUAGUGUUCCCUUUUCUCUUUCAUGUAUUUCCCUUCUUUUUUUCAUUUUUAUUAUCUCUAGGGUGUGGUUGUUUUAGUCCAUGAUGCAAACUCCAUGAACUAUGAUGAUGCCAUCUUUUCUAAAUUUAUUGGACACACUUUUAUCAGCUGUUGCAGCAUGUUCACUUGGGCUUCCUUUGACAAUGACCACGGUAAAAUCUCUUAUAGUUUAUAAAGAUAGGGUACAAUCACGAUUGAGCUUUGGAGUAGGGGCAGAAACACCAAAUUCUUAGUUAAUUCGGACAGUGAGCUCAUCGAAACAGGGAGAAGCUCCUCAGUCCUCUCUCCGUGGUGGUGCCCGGCCCCUCAGUCCUCUUGCAUCAUUUGGGAUGGACCCGCCCGCCCCCUCAGAUGAUGCUCACGCCGGAGAAGGUCCUGCUUCGUCAACUAAAAGAAUCCGGUUGGAGCUAGUGGAUAAAAUGCCUGACAAUCCAAAAGUGCUUGUAUUCGAGAGCACA
Molecule: long non-coding RNA, 771 nt
Organism: Sorghum bicolor (sorghum)
Lineage: Eukaryota; Viridiplantae; Streptophyta; Magnoliopsida; Poales; Poaceae
Exons: 3
Source: RefSeq, a predicted model, not a curated record